RNAcentral lists this ribosomal RNA (433 nucleotides) under uncultured bacterium. RNAcentral describes it as "partial 16S ribosomal RNA". It matches the Rfam family "Bacterial small subunit ribosomal RNA", at positions 30 to 507 of the family's 1533-position model. The record is from RNAcentral.
AACGAACGCUGGCGGCAUGCCUAACACAUGCAAGUCGAACGAGACCUUCGGGUCUAGUGGCGCACGGGUGCGUAACGCGUGGGAACCUUCCCUUAGGUUCGGAAUAACUCCCCGAAAUGGGUGCUAAUACCGGUUAAUGUCUUCUGACCAAAGAUUUAUCGCCUUUUUAUGGGCCCGCGUUGGAUUAUCUAUUUGGUAGGGUAAAAGCAUACCAAGGAGACAAUCCAUAGAUGGUCUGAGAGGAUGAUAAGCCACACUGGGAAUGAGAAACGGCACAGACUAGUACGGGAGGGAGGAGAGGGGAAUAUAGGAAAAGGGGGGAAAGCAUGAAAAAGCAAUGACGGGAGAGUGAUGAAGGCAUUAGGGAAGAAAAGCACUUUUAAAAGGGAUGAUAAUGACAGUACCGGGAGAAUAAGCACCGGCUAACUACGUG